Molecule: ribosomal RNA, 585 nt
Filed under: uncultured bacterium
Lineage: Bacteria
Description: bacterial SSU rRNA
Rfam family: Bacterial small subunit ribosomal RNA
Source: RNAcentral
CCUACGGGAGGCAGCAGUAGGGAAUCUUCCGCAAUGGACGAAAGUCUGACGGAGCAACGCCGCGUGAACGAUGAAGGCCUUCGGGUCGUAAAGUUCUGUUGUUAGGGAAGAACAAGUGUUAGUUGAAUAAGCUGGCACCUUGACGGUACCUAACCAGAAAGCCACGGCUAACUACGUGCCAGCAGCCGCGGUAAUACGUAGGUGGCAAGCGUUGUCCGGAAUUAUUGGGCGUAAAGCGCGCGCAGGCGGUUUCUUAAGUCUGAUGUGAAAGCCCCCGGCUCAACCGGGGAGGGUCAUUGGAAACUGGGAAACUUGAGUGCAGAAGAGGAAAGUGGAAUUCCAAGUGUAGCGGUGAAAUGCGUAGAGAUUUGGAGGAACACCAGUGGCGAAGGCGACUUUCUGGUCUGUAACUGACGCUGAGGCGCGAAAGCGUGGGGAGCAAACAGGAUUAGAUACCCUGGUAGUCCACGCUGUAAACGAUGAGUGCUAAGUGUUAGAGGGUUUCCGCCCUUUAGUGCUGAAGUUAACGCAUUAAGCACUCCGCCUGGGGAGUCGGUCGCAAGCUGAAACUUAAGGAAUUGACGG